CAUGCAAGUCGAACGAUGAAGCCGGGGCUUUUUGUUUUGGUGGAUUAGUGGCGAACGGGUGAGUAAUACGUGAGUAACCUGCCCUUGUCUUUGGGAUAAGCCUGGGAAACUGGGUCUAAUACCGGAUAUUCUGCUUUUGCCGCAUGGUGGGGGUUGGAAAGAUUUUUUGGAUGGGGAUGGGCUCACGGCCUAUCAGCUUGUUGGUGGGGUGAUGGCCUACCAAGGCGUCGACGGGUAGCCGGCCUGAGAGGGUGACCGGCCACAUUGGGACUGAGAUACGGCCCAGACUCCUACGGGAGGCAGCAGUGGGGAAUAUUGCACAAUGGACGCAAGUCUGAUGCAGCGACGCCGCGUGGGGGAUGACGGCUUUCGGGUUGUAAACUCCUUUCAGUACAGAAGAAGCAUUUUUGUGACGGUAUGUGCAGAAGAAGCGCCGGCUAACUACGUGCCAGCAGCCGCGGUAAUACGUAGGGCGCGAGCGUUGUCCGGAAUUAUUGGGCGUAAAGAGCUCGUAGGCGGUUUGUUGCGCCUGCUGUGAAAGACCGGGGCUUAACUUCGGGGUUGCAGUGGGUACGGGCAGACUAGAGUGUGGUAGGGGUAAUUGGAAUUCCUGGUGUAGCGGUGGAAUGCGCAGAUAUCAGGAGGAACACCGAUGGCGAAGGCAGGUUACUGGGCCAUUACUGACGCUGAGGAGCGAAAGCGUGGGUAGCGAACAGGAU
This 719-nucleotide ribosomal RNA is filed under the name Trueperella pyogenes. RNAcentral's name for it is "bacterial SSU rRNA". It matches the Rfam family "Bacterial small subunit ribosomal RNA", at positions 54 to 778 of the family's 1533-position model. Lineage: Bacteria; Bacillati; Actinomycetota; Actinomycetes; Actinomycetales; Actinomycetaceae. The record is from RNAcentral.